GUUGAUGGCGUUGAAUUUGUUUUCCAUAGUUGCAGGCAAUGCUGAAGUUGAUGCUUUGAAUGCCUUAAAGAUCAAUUUGGGUAACUCUAGUGACGUAUUUCAAAGUUGGAACGCAACCAAUGAAAACCCUUGCCAAUGGUUUUAUAUUACAUGUGACAGCGAAAAUAGUGUGACAAGAAUUGAUAUUCAGAAUGCCAAUCUUUCUGGUCAAUUGGUUCUACAGCUUGGUCAGCUUACGAAUUUGCAAUACUUG
Long non-coding RNA from Hibiscus syriacus, 253 nucleotides. RefSeq lists it as uncharacterized. The record is from RefSeq and is a predicted model, not a curated record. Lineage: Eukaryota; Viridiplantae; Streptophyta; Magnoliopsida; Malvales; Malvaceae. The transcript has 3 exons.